GAAAGUAAUAAAGGGCGUAUGGGGGAUGCCUAGGCUCUUGGAGGCGAAGAAAGACGUGGUAAGCUGCGAUAAGCCUCGGGGAUUUGCAAACGAGAAUUGAUCCGAGGAUUUCUGAAUGGGACAACCCGGCAGGCAGAAGGCCUGUCACACGAAAGUGGGCCAACCCUCUGAACUGAAACAUCUUAGUAGGAGGAGGAAAAGAAAGAAACAUCGAUUUCCUAAGUAGCGGCGAGCGAACGGGAAACAGCCUAAACCACAAUUGUUACGGCAACUGUGGGGUUGUAGGACUGCAAUAUUCAAAUGACUGUGAACUGGAAUGUUCUGGAAAGUUCAUCCAUAGAGAGUGAAAGACUCGUACAGGCAAGCACGUCAGGCGAUAGCAGUAUCCUGAGUAGGGCGGGACACGAGGAAUCCUGUCUGAAUCCGCCGGGACCACCCGGUAAGGCUAAAUACUCCCAAGAGACCGAUAGUGAACCAGUACCGUGAGGGAAAGGUGAAAAGAACCCCGAACAGGGGAGUGAAAUAGAACCUGAAACCAUACGCUUACAACCUGUCGGAGCGGCUUCGUGCCGUGACGGCGUGCCUAUUGAAUAAUGAGCCUACGAGUUACUAAUCACUGGCAAGGUUAAGUGCACGGAUGCACGGAGCCGAAGCGAAAGCGAGUCUGAAUAGGGCGUUUAGUCAGUGGUUGUAGACGCGAAACCUUGCGAUCUACCCUUGAGCAGGUUGAAGGUUGGGUAAAACCAACUGGAGGACCGAACGAAUAAGCGUUGAAAAGCUUCUCGAUGACUUGAGGGUAGGGGUGAAAGGCUAAUCAAGCUGGGAAAUAGCUCGUACUCCCCGAAAUGCCUUUAGGGGCAGCGUUGUAAUUAAGAGUCUACUGGAGGUAGAGCUACUGAUUGGAUGCGGGGGCUUCACCGCCUACCAAAUCCUGACAAACUCCGAAUGCCAGUAGUAUGAUUUACAGCAGUGAGCGACCGGGUGCUAAUGUCCGGUUACGAGAGUGGAACAACACAGACCAGCAACUAAGGUCCCCAAGAGUAUACUAAGUUGAUCUAACGAUGUUUUGCUGCAGAGACAGCUAGGAUGUUAGCUUGGAAGCAGCUAUUCAUUCAAAGAGUGCGUAACAGCUCACUAGUCGAGCGGCAAAGCGUGGAUAAUAAACGGGCAUCAAGUAUACCACCGAAGUUCUGGGCACGAAAGUGCGGUAGGGGAGCAUUCCAUUCCGCGUUGAAGCCGAACCGUGAGGUUUGGUGGAGUGUAUGGAAAAGCAAAUGUAGGCAUGAGUAACGAUAAUGCGGGAGAGUAACCCGCACACCGCAAGACCAAGGUUUCCUGAUCAACGCUAAUCGGAUCAGGGUUAGUCGGGUCCUAAGGGUAAGCCGAACGGUGAUCUCGAUGGAUAAUCGGUUAAUAUUCCGAUACUGACAUAUACCUCGAUGGAGAGACGAAGGAACGUAAGUGCCGCCACCUGACGGAAUAGGUGGUUAAAGGGCUUAGGUAUAGGGGCAGAUUAAGAGUUAGUCCUUGCUGAAACCUGACAGUACAGAGAGCCUACGGGCAAUUUGAUAGUGCACCCAAGUCGACUUCCGAGAAAAUCUUCUAAGUUAUAGUAUAUGUCACCCGUACCGUAAACCGACACAGGUGGUCGAGGAGAGUAUCCUAAGGUGCUCGAGUGAAUCACGGUUAAGGAACUAGGCAAAUUAACCCCGUAACUUCGGGAAAAGGGGUCCCAUCGCGAGGUGGGCGCAGCGAAGAGGUCCAGGCGACUGUUUAUCAAAAACACAGGGCUCUGCAAAUUCGAAAGAAGACGUAUAGGGCCUGACACCUGCCCGGUGCUGGAAGGUUAAGAGGGGAUGUCAUCGCAAGAGAAGCAUUGAAUCGAAGCCCCAGUAAACGGCGGCCGUAACUAUAACGGUCCUAAGGUAGCGAAAUUCCUUGUCGGGUAAGUUCCGACCUGCACGAAUGGUGUAACGAUCUGGACACUGUCUCAACCGUGAGCUCGGUGAAAUUGUAGU
Molecule: ribosomal RNA, 2018 nt
Filed under: gut metagenome
Description: bacterial LSU rRNA
Rfam family: Bacterial large subunit ribosomal RNA
Source: RNAcentral